UGGCGGACGGGUGAGUAAUGUCUGGGAAACUGCCUGAUGGAGGGGGAUAACUACUGGAAACGGUAGCUAAUACCGCAUAACGUCGCAAGACCAAAGAGGGGGACCUUCGGGCCUCUUGCCAUCGGAUGUGCCCAGAUGGGAUUAGCUAGUAGGUGGGGUAACGGCUCACCUAGGCGACGAUCCCUAGCUGGUCUGAGAGGAUGACCAGCCACACUGGAACUGAGACACGGUCCAGACUCUACGGGAGGCAGCAUG
Molecule: ribosomal RNA, 255 nt
Filed under: uncultured bacterium
Lineage: Bacteria
Description: partial 16S ribosomal RNA
Rfam family: Bacterial small subunit ribosomal RNA
Source: RNAcentral